CCUCGAUGGGCUAGGGGCGGGGAGGGCGCUCGGGGCACAGAUGGGGCGGAGAGAAGGGGCCAAACUCCAGACUGAAGUCAGGCCCGUGCAGCCCCGGGUGGGGGAUGACCGCAGGGAACAGAAUUCCUGAAGGAGGGAACAGCGCAGGCCAAGACCUGGAGGCAAAUGGGACAUCCACAUUCCGUGAGAGGCCAGCCUGGUGGACGCAGGUAUGAGGGGCUUCCCUGGUGGCUCAGUAGUAAAGAACCCACCUGACAAUGCAGGAGACGCAGGUUCCUGCAUCCUGCCUGGGCAAUCUCAUGGACAGAGGAGCCUGGUGAGCUAAGCCAAUGGAAUCACAAAUAGUCCUACAGUACUUGGUGACUAAACAACAACAUCAAGAGUCAAGAGAGAUAUUUCUGAAGUUUCUUCACCACUCCACCUGUAAUUUUAAUGAGACUCCGAUGACGUAGGUAGGUUAUGCAAGUGGGGAAACUGAGGCCCGGAAAGAAACCCGGGGUCAUACAUGGGUCAAGCUGGGAUUUGGGGUCCAGUUGUUUGGCUCCGGAACAGCGGGCGAAACUGAGCAGGAGACUACAGCUCCCGG
Molecule: long non-coding RNA, 586 nt
Organism: Bos taurus (domestic cattle)
Lineage: Eukaryota; Metazoa; Chordata; Mammalia; Artiodactyla; Bovidae
Source: Ensembl